RNAcentral lists this ribosomal RNA (488 nucleotides) under uncultured Flavobacterium sp. Its description in RNAcentral is "bacterial SSU rRNA". It matches the Rfam family "Bacterial small subunit ribosomal RNA", at positions 17 to 507 of the family's 1533-position model. The record is from RNAcentral. Lineage: Bacteria; Pseudomonadati; Bacteroidota; Flavobacteriia; Flavobacteriales; Flavobacteriaceae.
UCCUGGCUCAGGAUGAACGCUAGCGGCAGGCCUAACACAUGCAAGUCGAGGGGUAGAAGCUUUCGGGCUUUGAGACCGGCGCACGGGUGCGUAACGCGUAUGCAAUCUGCCUUACACUAAGGGAUAGCCCAGAGAAAUUUGGAUUAAUACCUUAUAGUAUAUAGAAGUGGCAUCACUAUUAUAUUAAAGAUUUAUCGGUGUAAGAUGAGCAUGCGUCCCAUUAGCUAGUUGGUGUGGUAACGGCAUACCAAGGCAAUGAUGGGUAGGGGUCCUGAGAGGGAGAUCCCCCACACUGGUACUGAGACACGGACCAGACUCCUACGGGAGGCAGCAGUGAGGAAUAUUGGACAAUGGGCGCAAGCCUGAUCCAGCCAUGCCGCGUGCAGGAUGAAGCAUCUAUGGUGUGUAAACUGCUUUGUACGGGAAGAAACACCUCUUCGUGAAGAGGCUUGACGGUACCGUAAGAAUAAGGACCGGCUAACUCCGUG